ACCCAUAGGCUGCUUCCGAAACUGCUGUGCUUGAGUGUGGGAGAGGCGCGUGGGAUUGCAGGUGUAGCGGUGAAAUGCGUAGAUAUCUGCAGGAACACCCGUGGCGAAAGCGGCGCGCUGGACCACAACUGACGCUGAGGAACGAAAGCUAGGGGAGCAAACAGGAUUAGAUACCCGGGUAGUCCUAGCCCUAAACGAUCAGGACUUGGGGUGCCUUCCGUUCGGAAGUCGUCCCGGAGCUAACGCGUUAAGUCCUGCACCUGGGGAGUACGGUCGCAAGACUGAAACUCAAAGGAAUUGACGGGGACCCGCACAAGCGGUGGAUGAUGUGGAUUAAUUCGAUGCAACGCGAACAACCUUACCUACCCUUGACAUGUCCGGAAGCCCGCUGAGAGGUGGGUGUGCCCGAAG
This 411-nucleotide ribosomal RNA is filed under the name uncultured bacterium. RNAcentral describes it as "bacterial SSU rRNA". It matches the Rfam family "Bacterial small subunit ribosomal RNA", at positions 612 to 1023 of the family's 1533-position model. The record is from RNAcentral.